AUUCGCUGCCUUAUUUAUUUCAUUACGAUUAUUUUAGAGUACAAAAACUUUUCGAUACCAUCAUUAUGACUAAAUGACGGCUUGUAAAAUGUUUUAGUAGGGUAUUUCUGUACACUCUUAAGUCCAGCCCUAAAUGCAUAAUGACGUGGGAAUAGAAAUUGACAAUAUUAUAUAACAUCUGCAUUCACCAUUUAACACAAACUGAUUUAAAAUUAGGUUCAAACCCGAACCACCAUAAAAAAAAACUAGGUUCACAAUACAUAGACGGUGGACAAUCAGAAUCUUCUAUACACUUAGCAAACGCUGCACAAAAAAAGAGAAUAAAACAAUAUAAUUAAAAUGAGAUGAAAUGUUUUUUACAAAGUAAAGAACGAAAUUUGAAAUGGAUAAAAAAUGUAUUACCAUCAAUGUUUAUUGAAACAAGAAAUACAUACAAAAAGAUAAUCAUAAAAUAAACAAACUGAACAAAUUUAGCCAUACUCUUCCACGACACUCUUCGUAUAUAAC
This 507-nucleotide long non-coding RNA is filed under the name Medicago truncatula (barrel medic). RNAcentral's name for it is "lncRNA gene35736". Lineage: Eukaryota; Viridiplantae; Streptophyta; Magnoliopsida; Fabales; Fabaceae. The record is from RNAcentral.